CGAGUUCUGAUUAUUGAAAGGUGCUUGCAUCUUGAUUUAAUUUUGAACGAGGUGGCGGACGGGUGAGUAACACGCUGGGUAACCUGCCCUUAAGUGGGGGAUAACAUUUGGAAACAGAUGCUAAUACCGCAUAAAUCCAAGAACCGCAUGGUUCUUGGCUGAAAGAUGGCGUAAGCUAUCGCUUUUGGAUGGACCCGCGGCGUAUUAGCUAGUUGGUGAGGUAACGGCUCACCAAGGCAAUGAUACGUAGCCGAACUGAGAGGUUGAUCGGCCACAUUGGGACUGAGACACGGCCCAAACUCCUACGGGAGGCAGCAGUAGGGAAUCUUCCACAAUGGACGCAAGUCUGAUGGAGCAACGCCGCGUGAGUGAAGAAGGCUUUCGGGUCGUAAAACUCUGUUGUUGGAGAAGAAUGGUCGGCAGAGUAACUGUUGUCGGCGUGACGGUAUCCAACCAGAAAGCCACGGCUAACUACGUGCCAGCAGCCGCGGUAAUACGUAGGUGGCAAGCGUUAUCCGGAUUUAUUGGGCGUAAAGCGAGCGCAGGCGGUUUUUUAAGUCUGAUGUGAAAGCCCUCGGCUUAACCGAGGAAGUGCAUCGGAAACUGGGAAACUUGAGUGCA
Molecule: ribosomal RNA, 621 nt
Filed under: Lacticaseibacillus rhamnosus
Lineage: Bacteria; Bacillati; Bacillota; Bacilli; Lactobacillales; Lactobacillaceae
Description: bacterial SSU rRNA
Rfam family: Bacterial small subunit ribosomal RNA
Source: RNAcentral